This 450-nucleotide ribosomal RNA is filed under the name uncultured bacterium. RNAcentral describes it as "partial 16S ribosomal RNA". It matches the Rfam family "Bacterial small subunit ribosomal RNA", at positions 354 to 796 of the family's 1533-position model. The record is from RNAcentral.
GUGGGGAAUUUUGGACAAUGGGCGAAAGCCUGAUCCAGCCAUGCCGCGUGCAGGAUGAAGGCCUUCGGGUUGUAAACUGCUUUUGUACGGAACGAAAAGACUCUGGUUAAUACCUGGGGUCCAUGACGGUACCGUAAGAAUAAGCACCGGCUAACUACGUGCCAGCAGCCGCGGUAAUACGUAGGGUGCAAGCGUUAAUCGGAAUUACUGGGCGUAAAGCGUGCGCAGGCGGUUAUAUAAGACAGAUGUGAAAUCCCCGGGCGCAACCUGGGAACUGCAUUUGGUACUGUAUAGCUAGAGUACGGCAGAGGGGGAUGGAAUUCCGCGUGUAGCAGUGAAAUGCGUGGAUAUGCGGAGGAACACCGAUGGCGAAGGCAAUCCCCUGGGCCUGUACUGACGCUCAUGCACGAAAGCGUGGGGAGCAAACAGGAUUAGAAACCCGUGUAGUCC